Long non-coding RNA from Micropterus salmoides (largemouth bass), 1168 nucleotides. RefSeq lists it as uncharacterized. The record is from RefSeq and is a predicted model, not a curated record. The transcript is spliced from 2 exons. Lineage: Eukaryota; Metazoa; Chordata; Actinopteri; Centrarchiformes; Centrarchidae.
ACCUGCUCUUUUAUGAAAAGUGCUGUGAGAUAACUGUUGUUGUGAUUUGGCGCUAUAUAAAUAAAACUUGAAUUGAAUGUUUCAGCCUUCUCUUCAUGCAGAGCAAGGGCCAGAGCAAGUAGACCUAGGUCUACCAUACUUUCUGUUGACUUAUAAAUUCAGUAAAAUAUAGCCUACUUGCAGCACAUCACCUCCAAGCAUAUUAUGUAUCAUAGCAACCAAAGCGUCUCAGCUGAAAAAAAUGCUGCGCCUCCAAAGCGCACCCUAGUGCUCCCAGCCAGGCGUUUUCAGAAGAGCAGGUGGCAUUUUCAGCUGGUAAAAAACACUUGGGUGGACAGGGGCCCUAACAUCGCUUGGCAGCUUGACAGAGCAGCGAUGAAUCGCAGCCUCCCUCAGCAUCCUAGUGCCCAACCCCAUUUGGGAUUUAAAUUGUGAAGCAGAGAAAACAAGCAGAAUGACUAUUUUAAGCCAAUACCCAUGACCCGUGAGAGGAUAAUGAAAAAUGGGAGUCUCCGGAGAAAAUUGAGAGGGUUACCAAGUAUAAGCUAACCGGAGCUAGCCUCCAUGACUCCUUGUUUACUUUGUACGAUAGCGUGCUGCUGCGUAAUGUCGUGUUCUUCUGCGCAUGAAGGUCAUUUUCAGGCCGUGGACAGUUCACACUGAAGUCUGAUAUGGGCCACAUUUAAACGAUAAUGGCAAACAAAAUAAUCGGAUUUGAGCAUUAAUUGGUAUGUGUAUGCAUGACUUUAGUUUGUUUUCCUCUUUUUGUGCAAUUGCGGGAUGCUUGCUGUGUUUUAGUUUUUUGUGUUGUCUGUCUGUGUUCUCCCUCCCUUUCCCUGCACAGUCAGCGAGAGGAGGCGUGUCCUCGGAUCUGGUUUACUCACUCACCUGCUCCCCAUCCCUGAACACUCACCUGCUCUUCAUCAAGCAAUCUCCUCAGCCUUCUUAUACUGCCUCCAGCAAUCCAGUCGCCGCUGGAUUGUUGUGUCAUUUGUUCCUCUACACCAGCCAUCGGUUCUGUGAACCCUGGACCCAACCCUUGCCACUCUGCCUGCCCGUCAGCACCCACCUCUCGGACCUCAGCUCAAGUUCCCUGCCUGCCUGCCACCCUCUCUAACCCUGCUUACCAUCCACCCAUUGUUCCCUGUAAUAAACAUCCUGAACUGCU